UGGCAGCCCAGCCUUGAGCAUCCACUCAACUCUGCACGCCACGGAAGAGAAGGCAGGCCAGGCCAGAUGAAGGCUAGGUGCUGGCUGGGGCCUCUGCAGGGGCCAAUGUGCUGGAGCCCUGGAGGCUGAGUGCCUGCUCCAGGCUGAGCCACCGCUGUGGGAACACAUGAAUGGAAGCACGCAUGGCAAACGCUGUGGAGGGAUCAGGAAGGCAUGGAAAGAAGCAUAUUCUGCAUCUUUCAUCCUUUCUUCCCUGGACACAUCUGUUCAGGCCAUGCAUAUCCCUAGUACCAAGCCAGCACUUGACCCAGAAGCACACACCCAUUGGAUGAAUGGAAUCACUCAGGCACAGGAUUCACUGACCCCUGCUAGCACUGGGCAUGAUGAACAAGACUGACCUGUUCUUCCAGACCUGCUGUCUGGCCCCAAGGAAACCUGGACCCCCACCAGAUGGAAAAUGCCCAUUGCAGUCAAGUAGACCUCAGAAGAGUGGUAACUAAGGACAGAACACUGAUCGCCGGUCUUUCUUCUCAAUUUCUUCCUGAGGGGCCUGGAGAGACUCAUACCUACAGGCCAGACCUUAACAUUCAUUUUGGCUGUCCCCAAGGUUUUAGACAAAGGCUUGCUCCUUAAUCAACUGCAUAUCACAGAAUCUCUGGAUCUACGUAUGACCUCAAAGCCUGCCCCACAAGAUAUCCUGCUUUUUUGGGCCAAACCAAUGUAUAACCUCCAUGUAUAGGUUUACGGUUUUGCCUGUAGCUUCUGCUUUCCUAAAAUGUACCCUUGCCUUUAAAAGCCCUUGCUUGUAGGGCCAUUGAGGAAGUGAGAUGUUAAGCAUGAGCUGCCUGACUCUCCUUGCUCAGCCUCCUGCAGAUAAACGCAGUCUUUUGUCUUGUUGUAAACUUCAGUGUUGGUGUUUGGCUUUAUGGCACAGGUUCAGCAGACCCAGGCUUGGUAAUAUGACCUUGGGUG
Molecule: long non-coding RNA, 972 nt
Filed under: Homo sapiens (human)
Lineage: Eukaryota; Metazoa; Chordata; Mammalia; Primates; Hominidae
Description: HSALNT0231646
Source: RNAcentral